Molecule: transfer RNA, 70 nt
Filed under: Neodontobutis hainanensis
Lineage: Eukaryota; Metazoa; Chordata; Actinopteri; Gobiiformes; Odontobutidae
Description: tRNA-Pro
Rfam family: tRNA
About the family: Transfer RNA (tRNA) molecules are approximately 80 nucleotides in length. Their secondary structure includes four short double-helical elements and three loops (D, anti-codon, and T loops). Further hydrogen bonds mediate the characteristic L-shaped molecular structure. tRNAs have two regions of fundamental functional importance: the anti-codon, which is responsible for specific mRNA codon recognition, and the 3' end, to which the tRNAs corresponding amino acid is attached (by aminoacyl-tRNA synthetases). tRNAs cope with the degeneracy of the genetic code in two manners: having more than one tRNA (with a specific anti-codon) for a particular amino acid; and 'wobble' base-pairing, i.e. permitting non-standard base-pairing at the 3rd anti-codon position.
Source: RNAcentral
CAAAGAAUAGUUUAAUUAAGAAUUCUAGCUUUGGGAGCUAGUGGUGGAAGUUAAAAUCUUCCUUCUUUGA